UAAAACAUAACUCUGCACCACAAACAACAAUCAGAACAAUAACAAAACAACAUUAGAGUUGACACUCUAUCCUAGGUGGCUCAACACGAAUCUACUACUUGGCCGGACGGACCAACCUGCUCUGAUACCAAUUGUAACACCCCGUUAUUCCAAACUUAAUAAUAAUAAUAAAUAAUCAGAGUUAAACACGAACGGGCAUGUCACACUACUUUUCAAAAUUUCUUAAAUAGAAUAAAAUACUAUUUAAUUAAAACAACUUCAUAAAAUAUCAAAACAUAGCAACGGAAUAGUUUUCAAAUCUUUAUCAUCGUAAACAUCCAACAACAUUUUAUGGCACGAAAGGCCUCAACAUAAAGUCAACAACAUUGUUCAAAUAACAAUAAAAAGGCUCCACAGCAUAAUUCCAAAAUUGAUACAUAAGGAAUGAAAAUAAAGAUAACUAAUUCCCAUCCCGUACGUAUCAGAGCCCUAGACAGUUGAGCCACCACACCUACUACUCGGAAUCACCUGCACGUUACCCACGGUCGAGGCAACAUUCAAACAGAAGGGAUGAGAUUCACAAUCAACAAUAAUAGACAUAAAAUUAAUCAAUUGAAUCUAACACCCUAUUAUAAUCAACAUUUCAAUAUUUAAAUAUAUUUCGUGUUCACAUCAAAUUCAUCAUAAUCAUCUUCAACCAAUUACGUAGAAAGUAUCAUUCAAUCACCAACAAUGACUCAUGCAAUGGCAUGACAACACCACCAAGACUCCUCGACAAAUGCAACUAGACACAUGCAUGUGGUACCAUUUUACAGGACAUAAGCCCUCACCGGAUUUUGAAUGGUUAAAGCAUUCACAGGACCGAAGUCCUCACCAAUUUUGAACGACAAGGCGUUCCAGAACCGAAGUUCUCACCGCUUUUGGACGACAAGGCAUCCCAGGACAAAGUCCUCACCGCUUUAUAUGCAUAUGCAAUGGACUCCACUUGCGUAUAUCUACAUACGACUUAACAAUGCAUAUAUGUAUAUAUGACUUACAACUCCGCAUUUUAAACAACAUGUAUGAUUUAGCAAAUGCAACAUACAUCAGAACAUCUUAAUCAUCAAAUCUCUUAUACAUCCAAUAAUUUGGAGUUCAUCAUCAUUUUAAUUAUCUUAUUCAGACUCAUGCAACUUAGUUAAUUAACAAUAGCAGCAUAAUCAGAUCACAUCAACAGCUUAAUAUCAAUUCAUCUUCAACAACUUCUUGAUCAUUCAAUAAUAAUUCAAGUAAUGCAAUCAAUCAAUAAAUCACAUUAUAAUCACUUAGCAUUUCAUAAUAGCUUCACAGUUCUCAGUUAAUAUCUUAAAUAGGUCUCAUUAGUACCUAAAGUUCCUUUCCUAAUCAAUCCAAGCAACUCAGGUCUCAAAAUCCUCAAAUGCACUCAGUUCUGGAAGUGCUCCCGAGGCGAGAGCAUCUGCUCGCCAUGGCGAGUACAAGCCAGAUUCCCAACUAAGGUUGUUCCAGGUUCAAUCUUUUUCAAAAUCAUCCUCUAAUCUUUAGUAGACACCUAAAGGUACUCAAAGGCAUCUAAGGUUCAACUCAAAAGUCAAAAACUCAGAAUUCGACAUGCUCUCUGGUCAUGCUCGCUAUGGCGAGUAGGGUUGCUCGCUGUGGCAAGCUAUGACAUGUAACUCGCAAGGCGAGGGGUUUUGGCUCGCGUGGCGAGCGAUGAACUUCAUCACUCGCGAGGCGAGGAUCAUCGUUCGCUAGGGCGAGCGAUGAAUGUUGGCUCGAGCAGAAAGCAGUUUUCUUCAAAAAUUCAUCUAAACUCAUGGUUUUAAGCCUAGUUUCGGUUCCAGAAUUCAUCCUAAACAUAUUCUAAUGUCAAGGGACAGUUUCUACAUCAAUCUAAUCAAUUUUUACCGUUUGAUCAUCAAUUUUAGGGAUUUGACCUAAUUUCAAAACUUUCUAAUUCAAUCCUAACUUUGUCAAUUAAUCAUCAUAAUCAUAGAAAUUAACAUUACUGAAUUAUUAGUCUCACCCUUACCAUAAUUGAUGAAAAUCGCAGCUCUCCUAGGUGUUCUUGCUCUUCUCUUGGCUUUUCCUCCUUUUCUCCAAAAACAGUCGUACGUACAAAACGUUUUCUAAACCUAGGUCUUUCCUUUUUAUAUCUCUUCUUAAUAUCUUAUCUUAUCUCACUUUCUCCCCCAAAACUCUCUAAAAUCUCAAAACAGCCCUCAACUAAAUAUUUUAUUUUAUUUUCAAAUCUUAUUUUAUUUAACAAUAAAAUAAGUCUCAUAAUCUCAUCAAAUCAUCCAAAUCAUCUAAAUCAACAAAACUCACAUAUAUUAUAUAAAUAUAAUAUAAUCAUCUAAACUCGAUUAAAUAAUUAACUAAACGAAAGUGGGCGUUACACCAGACCUGCCCCCAAUGAGGAUCGGGUUUCCCGACCCGACCCCGCCCCCACCUGCAAAUUGUAGAGAAAUUUUUUUUUGUUUUGGCUCAUAAUAAAAUGGGUUUUUCAACCAUUCAACUUUAAUUGCAAACUAAGCAAGAAAUCUAAUCCAAAUUAAAAAUAAACAUUUACUCUCCUAACACUUUUAUGAUGAGUAUUAUCCACAUAAUGUUGGCUUGAACCGAAUUGAAGUAGAGGGUUUGAUGCUCUGGAAUGUAUAAUCAUUCAUAUUAAAGUAGAGGGCUUGAUGUUCUGGAAUGUAUAAUCAUUCAUAUUAAAGUUGAAGGUUUGAUGCUCUGAUGGUACCACAUACAUAUUGCAUUUGUAUGAGUUGUUGUUGAUGUGUUGUUGAGUAAAGUUAAUUGAUGAUUUAUAGUUGGAAUUAUGUGAAGCAUUGUUGAUGAUGAUUUGAAUGAUGAUGAUUAAUUUAUCUUGACGAUGAGAAUAAUAAAGUAUAAUUAUGAUGAUGAUUUGCCGUUGUUUUGUGUUGCUGAAUUCUCUUACUUAAACUAUUAUUUAUUAGUAUUGUUAAUGAUGAAUUGAUGUUAUUUUAUGUUGAUAAAUUCUCUUAUCUAAAUUAUUGUUUAUUAGUAUUGCUAAUGAUGAAUAGAUGUUGUUAUGUGUUGUUAAAUUCUUUUAUAGAAUUAUAUUGCUUAUUAUUAUUGAAUAUCUCACCCCUUCUGUUUGAAUGUUGCCUCUACGUGGGUAACGUGCAAAUACUUAGAGUAACCGCUGAUGUGAGUUGAUUUCUCGUGUCGUCUUAGGAGUCGCUCUGAUACGUAACGAGAUGAGGACUUUUGAUGUUUAUUUCCUUUGUUACGUAUUUAUCUUUAUGAAUUUAAUGUUGGACCAAUUUGUUGGAUUUAAUGACAUUGUCUAAGUUGAGGCCUUACACUAUGUUUGGUAGAGGAGAAAAAGGAGAGAGAGAAGUUGAAGAGAGAGAAAUAGGAGAGAAGUCCUACACUUCUCUUGUUUGGUUCUGGUGAGAAAGAGAGAAGAGAGAGUUAAAACCUGUGGGACCCACUGUUUUUUUAGCCUUCCCAUGGAUGAGAAGAAACAGGGGAGAGAAUUGCAAUAUUUGUUAUUUUCCAAUUAUGCCCCUCUAUUGCAUAAAAAAAGACAAAAACGCAAAUAUAAAUGGUUAUGCUAUCAUGUAUGUGAAUGUUAUUGCACUUUUAAUUAAUUUCAUAAUAAAGUUUCCUAAUUUUUUUUUUUAACUUAGCAAUAAAAAUAAUAUGAACCACACUUCCCUAUAAAAAAUUAACCUAUUUUCUUAGGGACUAUAAUUGAACUGUUUAUUAAUUAACAUAAUUAAUUAAUCAAAAUUAUUCAUUUUUAAUUAACGUUGAUAAAAAAAUGUAUUGCAGGUAACAUAAAUUAUUUAUUUGCCAAAAGGGAACAUAAAUUAUGUUUUUCUACUCCAAACAAUUAUUUAGUUUCAUUUUACUUUGUUUAAGGGUAUUAUUGUCCUUUAAAAGCAAUUAUAUUAUUCUCUCACUUCUAUCUCUCUUAUCUUUCUCUUCGACCAAACAACCCCUCAUAUCUACUCUAUUUCUCAUAUACUUCUCUCUUCUCAAUCUCUCUCUCACCUAUUUCUCUCUUCACAACUUCUCUUCCAAACCAAACACACCUUAGUGCCAAUUUUGUUGAAAGAAUAAUGAAAUGUUUUUCCGCUGCGAUGUGAUUUGAAUUAUUGAUAAAAGAUGUUUUAAAUAAAAUUUUACUCUAUUUAUCUUUUAAAGAAGUGUGACAUCCUGUUUAAGUUGAAUCUUCUGAUUAUUAUGUAUUAUUUUGCAUGUUGUGAGAACAGGGUGUUACAACACAUCCCUCUACUUAAAUCAUUAAAACACUACUCAGCUCACUAACUACAUUUCUUUUCAAUUCAAUUUUACUAAUCCACCUCCGUUCACACUCUACUUCUUUAUUCUUUCUAAAAACUCUAUUUUCUUCCUAAAUAUUAUUUUCUCUCACUCUUUUUAAUUAAAGUUCUAUUUUAUAUAUACUAUCCUUUUUAGUCCAAUGUCUCUAUCCCAAUUAACUAAAUAAAACCUCACCCAAACAUGCCAAAACUAAUUUAAUUCAAUCAAAAUAAAAAUAAUGUCACACAAUCAACAAUACUACUAAAAAUAAUAAUACUAUAUUAUCUAAUAAACUAAUUUUAAAAAUUGGGGUGUUACAACUCUUCCCCACUUAAAGAAUUUUAGUCCUCGGAAAUUACCUGACUCAAACAACAAACAAGUACGGACAGUGUUUACACAUAUGUCCUAAAAAAAAUAUAAAUUUCGUCUGACUGGACCGAUAUGCUCUGAUACCAUUACGUAACACCCUAAAACCCACAUAUCAAUUCUAGUAAAAAUAUAAUAAUUAUUAAAGCAUGUAAGGGUGUCGCACAUCUUCAUCAAAUCAAAAGUACUUUAUUUAGAUAAAAAAAAAAAAACGUCGCAGCGGAAUAGUUUUCAAAAACUUUAAAGUAUACAUCUCAUCAUAGUUUCAACAAAAUCUGAAUACAAUAGAAUUCAAAAACAUAGUCUAAAUAAAAUAAAUCCUCAAUCCCUAGUGUCAUAGAUCAGAGCAUCGACUCGAUAAAGACUCCCAAAAGCGAUAAGUAAACGAGUAGGCUCCAAAGCCAUCCUCCAAGACUCACUGCUAUUAAACUUCUUCUUCCUGCAAAUCUACACCACAAGGGUGCAGGCGCCCAACCCGCCUCUAGAGGGUGAGAAUAUACUCAACAUAAGAGGCGCCCAACCUUUGGAGAUUUUGUUCGGAUAGACAGGUAGAGACAGUUGAAGAGAUGAAGUAAAUAAGCUUCUUUUGUCUAAAGAAGGUCCAGAUUGACAGUGGUUGGGAGACGAAAGUCGGUUGCGGCAGUGGAGAGAUGGAAGAAGGGAUUGUAUUUCAGAAUUAUGGGUUUAGAGAAAAAGAAGACGAGAUUAGAAAGUUGUCGGUUAGUGAUAGGAGCUUCGGCCUUGCCCAAUUUUAUACUCCUAAAACUGUGGUGUUAACAAUAUGUCCAAAUGUUUUACGUUUUUUUUUUAACAUAAUACAAUAAUUUCAAACUUAGAGAUUAAACCAUUUAAUUUUUUUUUGAAAGAAGCAUAUAAUUUAAUUUUUGAAAUAACUACAUCGUGAAAUAUAUCGCCAAUAAUUUAAGCAAUGUACUUUAUAAUUUAAAAUAAUUAUAAAAAUUGAAUAAUUAAUUUACACAUAGUAAAUUGGAAUGUAGAUCAUUAAACGUAAUCGCAUGGUUUUUUCUUAUGACUAUCAAAUAUCAUCCAAUUAGCCUAAUUUGCACUUGAUCCAAGAGUUUGAAGGUCCUAAUUUGAGUCUUCAAGUCGGUUCAAGUCAACAUUAUGUGGAUAAUACGUAUCAAAGUAUUCGGAGAAGAAAUGACCAUGAAAAUGAAGUGUUUCUUAGUAACCACAAAUUAAUAUUUCAAGAAUAUUAAUGUUCAUAUGUAUAUGAAGAAAGGAAUAAUAAGAGAGAGAAAAGAAGUAUUACCUCUCUGAUUUGGAAGGAAGUUUGAUUAAAAUGUCAUGAAAUAAUAGACUAUAUAUCAUUGUUGAAGAUGGUAACGGUGAUGGUAACGGUGAAGAUAUGUAUGUCAUUGUUGUAGCAACCAAAGCAUGUGCAAACAAUUUUUUUGGUGGGAUACAGUUUGUGGAGUGUGCAACCACGGUGGAGGGAGGAGGAGGUUUCACCGUGGAAGCCAAUUCUGAUUGCCAAUCAAAAGCCAUGGCAGGCUUGUGUGAUUGAGGGUGCAAAACGGCAAAGGAAACAAGAAGAAAGGUGAAAUCGAUCAGUCUAGGAAACCCUAACGGGAAACCCUAGAAGAGCGAAGAAGAACAAUCGCAUCUACAAAAGUUUCAUUAACUGUGUCCUCCAUAUCCACAUUUUGUAUUUAUGCAUCUCCAAAAUUUUUAUUUAUUGUGUCUUCCAUAUCCACAUCUUGUAUUUGUCCAUCUUCAAAAUUUUCAUCAACUUCCACAUUAUCUGUAACCAAAGUGAUAUUAUAAUUUAUGACAUAACAAAUGUAAAUAUUUGAUAUAUUCUACAAAAGUAUUGGAGUUACCAUAUUCCGGUUCAUAAUAUUCUGGCUCAUCAUAUUCUGAUUCAUUAUCAUGAGUUCCUUGAAAAGUUGAUGCAUUAUUAAGAUCUGGUAGUGUAGGGUCAUUAAUUUUGUUUUCAUCACUAACCAAGUGUAGGGUCAUUAAUAUGUAUGGUACUUGAUUCUGCUUCGUUGUCAUGGGUCCUUGAAAGUGUAUAUUUGAAAAAUUCAUAGCUGUGAAAAUUUGAUUGGGCACAUUUGGCUCAAUGAUAUCAUUAGUGCAUGAUAUUUCAACUUCAUUUCCUUUUUCUUUUCCUUUCCUUACUUUCUGGUGAUCCUCCCUCGAUAGUUGACUUUUGCUAUUUCUCAUUUUUCUAAUAAGAACUGUCAAAAUUAAAAGAUUAAUAAUUAAUAAUAAAAGAGAUUUUCGUUUUUUGUUUUAAAGGGGUAAUAAUGAAAGAGUUAGUAAAAGUACCAUGCAUAUAUUUAUUUAUUUUAACAAAAGAAGACAUGAAUUUUUAAUAUUUUUUAUCAAUGUAUGACUUUGAUAUUUGUUCAAAAAGCGACAUCCAUCAUUGCUCCAUUUAGGUUUGCUCUAUUUGAAGGUGAGAAAAACACAAGAAGGAGGGGUUGAAUUGUGCUAGCUUUUUUUUAGUUUUCUUCUAAGCUGAAAACACUGAUCAGAAGAAAAUAGAGUUCGGCUUCUGAAGUGAUUUCCAGAACUAAGUAGUAGCGGAUAAAACAGAGAGAGAGAGAGAGAGAAAGAAGAAAGACACAAAGCAAUUAUACAGGUUCCUUCCACAAAUCGGAAGUCAGUCCUGUCCCCCUUGCACUUCCAAGGAGAUUUCAAUAAAAUGUAAUAUCUGAUUACAAAUGUUCACUGCUAAACUUAACAAGAGACUUCAAAUGCUCAAGCACAACUGCAAGAGACUUCCUAUGCUCUUGAACACAAUCAAGAGACUUCUAAUGCUCAAGCACAACUGCAAGAGACUUUCAAAUUCAAACAGAUUUACAAAGAAAAAUGUUUGAGGUUGAACACUUGAUAUACAAUCAGUGGUGUUCACAAUACAAAUCAGAUACAAACUCUUAAGACUCUAGAAUUUCUAAGAUAUGAACUUUGAUAAAAAAUUCUAAGUGAACUUUUGAUAUAGAACAAUUUUGACAGAGUUUAGGCGCUUUCAAAUUGUUGUUGAGUCCUUGCCAUUCUCUAAGUCUUCACUCCUUUAUAUAGAGGUGUGAAAGAGACGUUGUGAAUUGCCAGCACAUCAAAAUAGAGUCGUUUGAAGCUUUGAUCAAUCACCAAUGAUCUUUUGCCUGAUAUGGUUAUUGUCAUAUGAAGGAUCAAAUUCAAAUCCAUUCCCAGUAUGUAGGAACAUUGUUGCAGGCAGGACUGUUAUCCUUGUCUUGUAGUAGAGACACAAACUGAGUAGUGGAGAUAGUGGUUGUACACUUCGUGCAAUUGUAAUUUGUCAACGCUCUUCAAAAAACACGCAUCCAAUGCAUUCAAAUCCUUUCAAAAUAGUUGUUACUUCACUCUUUCAGUCUUCUGCAAUGCUUAGACAAGAUUAAAUCCAUUGAACAUCCUUUGAAGCUUGAAGUCUUGCAUCUCUUGAUGACCUACAACUUCUGGUGAUCUUCAGCUUCUGAUGAGAUGCUUCUGAUGAACUUGCUUUUAAUGACGUCAUCACUUCAGGAGCACUUUGGCUUCAGGAGCACUUCUCUUCAGACGCUUUAAGCUUCCUUUUUGUUGAUUUCAUUGCUCUCUUUUGUUCUUCCAGAACCUAAUAAUGAUUCCAAAUUUUUGUCUAUGGUCCUGUACACUUGAACAAAUAUUAGCAUAUCCAAUUGACAAUAUUAAUACUUUGUUAUCAUCAAAACUCUCAAAGGGUAAUGUUAAACAUAUUUUGUUCCAACACUAUUCACCCAAUUUCAAUACAUAGAUAUAUGACAUGUUGCCAAAACAAAUUUAAGUAUUAAGAUUAAAUAGAAUGUGAGAGCUAAUGUAUAUGUGAGAUUGUUCUGGGGCUAUGCUACAACAACAGCAGUGAGGGAAGGCCAUUUGAAAAUAUUGGAGGUCCUUAUCAAUGGUGGGACUCACAACUUGCAUGUGAAGAGGACAGCCAUUGCUGACUAAACUAACUACAAAAAAAAAACUUGAGUGGGGAAACAAAGAUCACAUAGAAAGCAUAAAGGAGUUGAGUGAUAGAGUUUUCAAUGUCAUCAUCGGCACCGACAUUACAAACUUUGCUGAAGCUAUAAUGUCUUUAUUAAACAAAAUAAUGAUUUAUUUAAUAAUUAAUAAAAACAACAGUUUUCUUUAUAUAUAUAAAAAAAAAAAAAAAAAAAACCACGCUAUAAACAAUUAUAAACUAGCAAAGUCAAAUAAUCCUUGAAAUUAAUCGUAAACAAUUUGAAUCAUAAUCACUUAUAAACCAGCAAAGUCAAAUAAUCCAUAAAAUUAAUCGAAUUUAAUUAGUUGUAACAUGAAAGGAAAAGAAAAAAACUUACAGGUUAAUUCUGAAUUCUGAUGUAGAGGGCUGAGAGAGUUGAGAAAAACAAAACAAUGCGGAAACGAACUAUGAACUGUGAAAAACCUACUUAUUAAUAUUUAUUUAAUAUAGUGAUAACAAAUCUUCUUCUAAAAAAUUUUUGAGUCCUAAUCUUUUUUUUUAGAUGAUUUAAAGUUCAAUCUUUAACAAUAUUUUUUGCUCACGUUUGUUACCAAUCUUUUUUUUAGAGAAUUUAAAGUCCAAUCUUUAACAUUAUUUUUUGCUCACAUUUGUUACUAAUUUUUUUUAGAGGAUUUAAAGUCCAAUCUUUAACAAUAUUUUUUGCUCACGUUAAUUUGUUACUAAUCUUUUUUUUUUAGAGGAUUUAAAGUCCAAUCUUUAACAUUAUUUUUUGCUCACGUUUGUUAAUAAUCUUUUUUAGAGGAUUUAAAUUCCAAUCUUUAACAAUAUUUUUUGCUUAAGUUUGUUGCUAAUCUUUUCUUUAGAGGAUUUAAAGUCCAAUCUUUAACAUUACCUUUUUCUCACGUUUGUUACAAUUGAUCAACGGCUAAGGAAUAGUACCUUAUAUUAAUAAAACAAAAUAAUAUGAAAAUACUGUUUUUUGUGUAAGGGAUAUGAAAAUACUUGGCAAUCUUUGUCGGUUGUAUUGAGGGGAACAACACAGAUGUACAACAAUUUUUUUUUAGGGAAACACAGAUGUACAACAUAAAAGUGGCUUAUAAAAAAGUAACAUGGAUUUUUAUUUUGUGCUAGUUUUUGUGAGUUUGAUCUGUGGUUACGGAGGUAAAAGAGGGUUAAUGGGGACGAUUAGUGACAUGAAUUAGUAAUUCAUGUGUUAUUUUAUAAUUGGCUAACAGUAAGAACAGUUAAUAAGAAACUGUGUGUAAGUUUUCUCCUUAAAUUAAAUUUAUUGUUAUAUAUUUGUUACAUGUGUUACUUGUAUUUGAAAUAAAUUUAAAAUUAAGGGUAGUUUUGGAAAGAAAAGUCCAACCCAAAAGUGUGCUGAAAGGGGUAGUUUUCUUUAUAUAUAGUAUAGAUAUAGAUAUAUUUGUUAUAUGUGUUACUUGUAUUUGAAAUAAAAUUAAAAAUUAAAAUUAAGGGUAUUUUUAAAAAGAAAAUUUCUUUACUUCCUCAUCAUUCGCAACGCGUAUAACAACGAGUGAUUUAAUUUAAUAAUAUCAAGUAAUUAUUACUAAUAAUAAUAAUACUAACAUUAUCUUAUAAUAAUAAUAACGGCUCAAUAUUAAAAAUCGAGGUGUUACAAAAUGAAUGCGUUUGAUUUGCUAAAAAAUGAAGAACAUGACAGAACAACUCUAGUUGUCCAAUGUUUGAUUUGUAAAACUGAUUCAGGUACAGGACAAACUGGAGGCAACGGACAGGACAAAAACUCAUAUUUUUGUCCCUCACCAAACCACAGCACAACUUUUUGUCCCACGUACAAGUUGUCUAAAAUACCAAAAUAGCAUUUUGUCCCUCAAAAAUCGUAUAAAACAAAAAAUUACUCAAUGCCAUAAAAAAUUUGUCAUGUACUGUUCUGCCUUGUGUUGUACUGUUCUAUCUUGUACUGUUCUGUCCGAUACUUACUGUUUUGCAAACCAAACACACCCGAAGUUUCAUUGGUCAAACAUAAUGUUUGGUCGGUACACAUGGUCGACUACCUUGCCAAAUGAUAAGAUGCUACAAAGACAAUUGGUGGUGAGGUGCAUCAAUACCCUGAUUAAUAGUGUUGACCGGACAUUCUCACUCUGGUUUGACGUUGUGGGUGUGAGUUUCAGGUGGAGCUUGCCAGUUUGUAUAAAAAAUAAUGUGAGAGAUAUGCACAUAGUAUUUUAUUCAGAAAAAAAGAUAUGCACAUAGUAUUAAUUAGAUGAUACAAUUGAAAAUAAUUAAAAUUACAUUAAAAACUGAAAAUGAUAAUAUUUUUAGUCUUUCUUUUAGGUUGUAAAGCUAUUAUUGGAGGAAGGAAUUUGUGUUUUUUCUGUUAAUAGGUGAAGUAAUUUGUAAUUGCAAGAUUUUUUUUUUUUUUUUUAAUAAAUUCUAAGAUAUGUUUGUUUCUUCGUCUACCGACUAAUAAUAUAUAUAUAUAUAUAUAUAUAUAUAUAUAUAUAUAUAUAUAUAUAUAUAAAGUAAUAUUUCAUAAUAAAAAUUGUAUUGAAUGAAGGCAUUAAUGUUUGUUGACUCUAAGAAGAUAUAAAAUUGUUUUUUUUUUUUUUAAGGAAGGAAGGAAUAAAAUUGUUACUAUAUUAAAAUAUUUGCUUUUCAUUGAAUAUUCUACUCAAAGAGAAAAAAUCACUAAAUAUUAAUUUCUUAUUAAUAUUUUGAUCAAGAAAUUAAUUAAAUAUCAAUUAUUUAAUUACUAGACCUGUUUUAAAUAUAUCCAUAAUUUAAGGGUAUUUUUGUUUCAAUUAUUAGUCAGUUAUUUAAAAUUAUUAAUAUUUUGGAAAGUCAAUGACCUGUUUUAAAAUAAGGAUAUAACCAUAUGUUAUUUAUUUGUUUCAAUUAUUUUAGAGUGUACGUCGAAUGAGUUAUUUUUUAAAAUAUAACUUAUACUUCUUAUAACCAUUUACAUUGCAAUAACUAAUGAGGGAAAGCUCAUUGACUUUUAAAACAUAAUAUUAUGACUUCCUUUAAAAAAAAAUAUUAUGACUAUUCAGAUGUUAUAUAUACAUGUUGUAUAGGUUACACUGACAUGCAUCACUCUUAAAUUAUUCUCAUAAAUUGUUUUUCUUUUACAAGAAGAUCGUAUACAAAAAUGAAUCACAAGAAUAAAUAUUGGGUUGCAUUGAUAGCUUCAAUAUGGAUGAGUGUAACUGAUAAUGUUUUUGCAGAAGGUGAGUCUACAACAGGGAAGAAAUGGGCCUUUCUAGUUGCAGGAUCGAAUGGUUACGUGAAUUAUAGGCACCAAGCCGAUAUUUGCCAUGCCUAUCAAAUAUUAAAAAAAGGCGGUCUUAAAGAUGAAAACAUCGUUGUUUUCAUGUACGAUGACAUUGCCUAUAAUCCUCAAAACCCUAGGCGCGGCGUUUUAAUCAAUCAUCCAAAUGGUUCCGAUGUUUAUAAUGGAGUUCCCAAGGUACAUAUAUGUCUCCAUCUCUUUCUUCGUAGUUCUAUAUUUUUUAUUAAUUUUAAAUUAAGUAAUACUAACGAGUUUUUUUGGAGUACUCUUUAAUGGUGUUAAAUUAUAAGUGAUACGCUCAUGUAUUGUGAAACUUGUAGGAUUAUAUCGGAGAUUAUGGAAAUCUGGAAAACUUUUUAGCAGUGCUUAGUGGUAAUAAAAGUGCUACAAAAGGAGGUAGUGGUAAGGUUCUGGAUACUGGCCCUGAUGAUACCAUUUUCAUUUUCUACACAGAUCAUGGAUCUCCUGGCUCAAUUGGUUAGUAAUAUUAUGUUUAUAAUGACAUUCUUUUUUGAUAUAUACAAUUUGAUAAAUUUAUAAAACUUUAGUGUAAAGAAUAAUAUUUUAUCUCUUAUAAUAACAUUCUUUUUCAAAUAAUUAUUUUUAUCAUUCCACCUCUUUAAUUCUCUUUUUUCUGUUUUUUUUUUUUUCUUUUCUAUUAGGUUUAAAUAUUGCACUCGUCCCUGCAAAUAUGGCCCGAUUAAGUUUUCGUCCCUGUAAAAAAAAAAAAUUGUUUUUGAUCCCUGCAAAAUUUUUUUGUUUUUGGUCCGGAGACUAUUUUCAAAAACAAAAAAAAAAAUUUGCAGGGACCUUUUUAAAAAACAAAAUAUUUUACAGGGACCAAAAACUACAAAAUGCGUUCAAUCAGCGUGCGCCAUGUAGGCAUUUUGGUGACUUGUCAUGACUUAAAUGGGUCCAGGGGUAUUUUUAAAAGACAGAUUUUUUUGCGGAGAUUGAUUUCUGAAUUUUUAUUUUACAAGGACCAAAACUUAAACGAGCCAUAUUUGCAGGGACGAAUGCAAUAUUUAAGCCUUUCGUUUAUAUAUCAGGUAACCAAAAAAAAAACUUUUAUUUUGGUGGGUAUAUUUUCUUAUUUUCUAGAUGAUCUGUUUGUUUAUGAGUAGGCAUACCAGAUGGGGGUCUUCUUUAUGCCAAUGAUUUCGUAGACGCGUUGAAGAAGAAACAUGAUGCUAAAUCCUACAAGAAGAUGGUGAGUUUAAUCGAAUUUUUUGAAUGGAUUCACAACAAAGUAAUUUCUAUGCAUCAUGAUUUAAAUUAAAUAUACUAUACAUUCAAUCGAAUCAUAUCAAGGUGUCACUUUUUAGGUUAACUCCAAAAACCUCAGUUUUAGGUGAAAUUGAUAUAUGUCUUAAUAAAAAAAAUUGAAGACUACUAAAUUAUUCUUUUUUUUUUUUUUACCAAAUUACUAAAUUAUUCUAGAAAUCAAUGUUUUUAAAAUCGGACUGAAGAUGAACCGUUGUGACUUCCGAUUCUCGGUUUAACUGGUUCAACCAAUUAAACCGUUAUAGAAUCGAUUGAACCUGAUAUCAAUUAAAUUAAUAAAUAAUACAUAAUAUUAAAAUCUAAGAUUUUUUGAAAAUCCCGACUUAAAUCCUAAAAUUCAUGAUUUUGGGAUUUUCUUCACCUUCAACGACUCAAAUCCAUAAUAGAAUUCUAAAAUAGGCAAAAUUCAUAAUUUUGAUUGCGAAUUUACGAUUUCUUAUAAACUAAGUCAUUUAUGACUAUAUACCAAUUAUUUAUAACAUAUUUAGUUUUUUUUUUUUUGGUAAAAUCCAUCGAUUUUGAUUGUAAUUUUACAAUUUCUAUAUCAAUUUUACAGAAGUAGUUGAGUAAAACCCUUGAAAUUUGGUUGCGAUUUUACGAUUGUCGAUUUUGCUCUUCUCUUUUGACGUGAAGCAAGAUCCCAAUUUUGACAACCUUGAGUAUAUCAUCGACUUCUCCUUCUACCCUAAAAUCUUCUAACGCCAACUCCACCCCGCUCCACCAACACUUGACCCUAUCCUACACAUAUCUGCAACAAACACAGAGCUAUUUUAAGAUGACUCAAAAUCUUUUAAACCUUUUACACAUACCAUAGUUUCCCCAUCGCCAUUCUCACCAAAUUGUCAUCAAACUAGUUGCCAGUACUCAUCCCCACCCCUCCUCUACACCUUGUAAAUUGUCAAUUUUAUAGACACAUCACUACCCCGCCCUUCACAUGACCUCCCUCCAACCCAUAAUGAACAGUUAAAACUUUAAACCUCAAACCACAUGAUCCAUAUGGAACCUUCAACACCAUUUACAUAAUAGAGAUAAGUUAAAUUCCCGCACUCUAUGAACUCCCAAAUUACCACUAUUUCGAUCAAGACACAUCUUCUCCAACUUAACCCAAUGAACUUUUCUAACUUCCUUACUUUCUAUACACAACAUUAAAUAAGAAUUUAAGGGAAGAAAUUAUACAUAUGGCAGCCUUGAAAAAGGUCAAAGUAAACAGGAAAUAAAUUAUGAGAAAUGAUAUUUGUACAAUUAUUUUUGACAAUUUUGUGACAAUUUUCUCUCUCAUAUUUGCAUUAAUUAUAUUUUUAUUUUUUCUUUCUAUUGUUUUUGUGUUUGUGUCAAUAUCUCUUUUUCUUUGUAAAAUUAUAAUUGUCUCAAAAGUUAUUAAUAAAUGGUUGUUUAAAUAACAUAACUCUAAAUUAAUUAUGUGAGUAUCACUUUCAUAAUAUUUAGUAGACUAAUUUUAAAAAAUAAGAUACAUAUAAAUCAUACUCAAUACGUUUUUAGUACUUUCAACAAAAUAUAGUUACUUGAAAACGACCUCAAAUUUAAUUAGUAAACUUAUUUGAUUACCAUUGGAAAUUUGGAAGGAAAAGUUUCUGAUUAUUGUACGAAGGAAAAGUUUCUGAUUAUUGUACACACUACACAUGUACAAUAAAGUUAAGGGACGGCAUAAUGAUAGAUAGCAUAUGACUUUAUUUAAAAUAUACUAUAAGUAUUGUUGUCAAAAUCCCAACUUAAAUCCUAAAAUUUAGGAUUUUGCGACUUUCUUCACCUUCAGCGACUAAAAUCCAUAGUAGAAUCUUAAAAUAGGCAAAAUCUAUCGAUUUUGAUUGCGAUUUUACAAUUUCCUAUAUUGAUUCCACAAAAGUCCUUGAGUAAAAUACUUCAAUUUUGAUUGUGAUUUUAAGAGUCCCAAUUUUGCUAUUCUCUUUCCACCUGAAAUAAAGUUCUGAUUUUGACAACCUUGACUACAAGUUUCUUAACUGUUUCGUUGCUUAUUUUUAUUUAUUCAAUGAAAGUUGCAUUGCUUAUUUUAUUUAAUGAAAUAAAAAUAGGUGAUAUACAUGGAAGCAUGUGAAGCUGGGAGCAUGUUUGAAGGUCUUCUUCCAAAUGAUAUAAACAUUUAUGUAACUACUGCUUCGAAUAAAUCAGAGAAUAGUUACGGAUUUUACUGCCCAAACUCAUAUCUUCCUCCACCACCUGAGUAUGAUAUUUGUUUGGGAGAUCUCUACAGCAUUUCAUGGAUGGAAGACAGGUACUUUUUUUAUUGUUUUUUAGGGGGAACGAACACAGGUAUUUUUAAUUGUUAAUUAGAUAAUAUGGUUUCAGUGUUACAUACAAUUUAUAUAUAUAUAUACUAUUACCAUUCAGUUUACAAUACCAACUAAACUUUGUUUGUAACUCUGACCGUCCUUACAAAAAUGGAGGCUCGGCUCUCAAUUUUUUUAAAAGAGCAAAAAAAAAUUAUAAUGUUUUUUAUUUUAUAUUUUUAAAGAAUAAUUAUAGUGUUUGUUGUUUGAGCUUAUUGGAAGAAAAGGAGAUAGUAUUUAGGAUAUAUAAACCUCAAAUCCAUAAAAAUUAUGCAAAAAAAGGCCCUAUAAUGCUGGAAAAAUAAAUAAAUGAUAAAAACAUAAAAAUCAGCCCUCACAAGAAUUGAAGCAGAAUACAUAAGUUCAACAUCCCCAAGAUUUACCACUGGUGUACGCCUUCAAUUUUGUUAAUACUACAAUGUUAUUUGUAUAUAUUAUAUUUUCAGUGCAUUAUAUAUAAAAAAACAAAAAAAAAAUAUUUUGGGCCCCAAAAUUGGGGAGGCCCAGCUCAGUAGAGCUGUUUGAGACGGCCCUGGUUUCAGUGUUACAAACAAUUUAUAUAUAUAUAUAUAUAGGAGUUUGCUAGAACACACCUACUGGUUUUUAUGUGGAAGUGUUUUAGCAAAGCUAUACCUUAAGGUGUAUUUAACCACUUUUUAGUUAUUCACUUGCUAAAAUACUCCUUCUAAAAACUAAGUGGGUGUAUCCUAGCAAAUGCCUAUAGGAUUUGCUAGAACACACCCACUUAUUUUUGUUAGAAGGUGUGUUAUAGCAACAUACACCUUAAGGUGUAUUUAUUAACUUUUUAGUUAUAACUUGCUAAAACACUCCCACAUAAAAACUAGUGGGUGUGUUCUAGCAAAUCUCAUAUAUAUAUAUAUAUAUAUAUAUAUAUAUAUAUAUAUAUAUAUAUAUAUAUAUAUAUAUACUAUUACGAUUCAGUUUACAAUACCAACUAAAUUUUGUAUACGUUUGAAAGUACCAGCUGGAUUUCAUAAAGUCUCUUGGUUAAAAAUAAGUUAAUAGUCCCUUUUUUUUUUUUUUAAGAAGUUAAUAGUCUCUUAGUAGAUAGUUAAUAGAUAGUUAUAUUCUUAUUCUAUGCAUAAGUCUUGAAAAUGGCUUGAUGUAAUUACUUUAUUAUUCUAUCAAUUUUUUUAAUUUCAUCUUUCUUUCAAUUUUUUCUUCAUCCUCUCUUGUGGGAGAUGUUUCUUGAUAAGUUUGUGAAUAAUGCAGUGAGAAAAAUGACAUGACAAAAGAAAUUUUGAAAGAACAAUAUGAAACUGUAAGUAUCAAAUAAUUUUUCCUUUUUUUUUAAUUAAUACUUAUUAUAUUUGUCAAUUAAAUUCUAUGGUGUAAUGCACAGGUUCGCCAAAGAACAUUACUUUCUCACGUGUUGCAAUAUGGUGAUUUAAAUAUCAGCAAUGAUACUCUAAUUACAUACAUUGGUGCAGACCCUACUAAUGUUAAUGAUAACUUCAAUGUCACUAGUACUACAAAUGUGUUUUCCUUUGAUGACUUCAAGUCUCCAAAUCCUACAAGAAAUUUUGGCCAAAGAGAUGCUCAUUUAAUUUAUCUUAAGACCAAGGUAAUUUUUGGUUCAAUAGUUUGUUGUACAUACUAAAGUUUUAAAUAGGGGUCGCUAUAAUAAUUAUGGUCGUAUCACGAUAUUUGAUGUUGAGGAAAAUCAUAGUUAAAUAUUGUCGAUGCAAUCUCAAUUAGCAGCGGCGAUGCAGUUUCAGCGACAUUAAAAGUUGUUAAAUAUAUUCUUUUUAAAUUGUUUUAGCUGGGAAGGGCUUCAAGUGGUUCGGAAGAUAAGUUAAAAGCUCAAAAGGAGUUAGAAGUUGAAAUUGCUCGUAGGAAACAUGUAGAUAACAAUGUCCAUCAAAUAAGCGAUCUUUUGUUUGGAGAAGAGAAAGGCUCCAUUGUAAUGGUCCAUGUUCGUGCAUCUGGUCAACCUCUUGUCGAUAAUUGGGAUUGUUUAAAGACACUUGUAAGUAUGGAUAAAUUCUUCAACAUUGUCACCAUAUCAAUUUUUCAGGCUCAAAUCUCUUACCAAUUUUUUGUAAAUGUGCACUCUCAAGCAUAUAUGAUUUUAAAUGAAAUAUAUGUUGAUUAAUAAUCAUGUUUUCUUAAUAUUUUAUGCAGGUAAAAACUUAUGAGAGUCACUGUGGUACCCUAUCAAGCUAUGGAAGGAAAUACUUGAGAGCCUUUGCUAAUAUGUGUAAUAAUGGUAUCACUGUAAAGCAAAUGGUUGCAGCAUCAUUACAAGCUUGUCUGGAGAAAAACUAAGAUUUUCAAAACUCUCUUCAAGAAUGUAAUAAUUAUUAUAUCGUUGAAUUAAACUGCAGUUCAAUCCUUGGUAUAUCAUCGUUCUUUUUGUAAUUUAUGACCCAUGGUUAUAUUAGUGUUUACAUGCCUGAGUUAUCCAUAAUGGUUCGAUUUUACUCUUAUAAAAUUGCUCAAAAACUACACUAGCCGUAGCUAACUGGGCUCAGCCUUUCCAGCGACAGUUAACUGUCAUUGGACACUUUUAAGAUUGAUUCGAUCACUUUUUAAGUCGGUUUAACCGAUCUUAAAAGCGUGUAACUAACUGCCGCUGGAAAGGCCUAGCCACAGUUAACUGUCGCUGGUGUAGUUUUUGUGGUUUCCGCAAUUUAUUUACAUCUUAUAGUCCUUUGCUACCCUCAUGUUCAUUUUUAUCACAAUAAAAAUGCCAAGUCAUAAAAUAGAUUAAGGGUGUGUUUGUUUCAAGUUUACCAAAUUUAUUCCUAGGAAUAACAUUCCUUGGAAUAUAAAGAUGAGAAUUUUAUUCCAAGGAAUUUAGGAAAAAUAUGUUUGGUUAGCUUUAUAAUAUUCCUAGGAACCAUAAAAAUAGGGAUUAUAAUAGGUAAACUAUUUAUGAAUUUAUUCCCAUCUCCAUGGGAACUUUAUUCCCACCCUUUUCCUUGGGAAAUUUUUUCUAUUCCCAGGAACAUUUUAUACCAAGGAAUAAAUUUUAGUAAACUUGUAACAAACAUAGGCAUAUACAUUUCUAUCAUUUUAUUCCCGGGAAUCAACAAUUAUAACUUGAAACAAACACACCCUAAAACUAGUUCUAUUUACAAUAGAACAACAGAAUAAAAGAAUGUUCAUUCAUUUAAAUUAUUUUAAUUACACUUUUUUCUUUCAGUGUCUACAUUGACAUUGUCACACAACUCAUUUCCUCCAUGAGUUUCCCAAUUUUGUUGAAGGUAUGGCCUGAGAUCUAACUACCAGACCUCUCCAACAUUAUAAGCUUCAUUAGAAAUUCUAAAAUUCGAUCUCCUUCAGGAACAAAGGUCUAUUACAAACAAUACUUUCAUUCCCUCUUCACAAAUCGUCCCUGCAAAAUGUACCAACAAGAAGAAUUUCAGUUAAAAACAGAUCUCUAGUAAACCAAAUUCUUCAAAUUUAGGAUAUUUUGAGGACUGAAUAGACAGGCAUGCAAAUGCGCGUAAUAAUCAUACGGUCUACUUUCGCUUUUUGUAGAUCGUAUUUAAAAUUUAGACUAAACCGAAAACCUUCGGUUUAGUCCAUAAACUAUCAUUUUAGUUUCUAUCAGAUUAGCAACAAAUAAUCUGUGGAGAAACAAGAUAAUUUCGCUUUUUACAACCAGAUUUUUUUCCAUAUAUAUCAGUAAGAAUCAAAGGAUGAUCAAAAAAAAAAAAAACAGCAUGAAUCAAAGGACUGAUCACUUUAUAUAGGUGGUUCAGAUUUUACUUCUCAGAUCAACCAUCAACCAUAUGUUACAUGUGCCACACUUCUCUAUGAAACAUCUAGUUCUGUCAAAUAUUUAACUUUUACUACAUAUGCCUACAAUUCAACAUUGGACCUAGAAACCAACAGGUCCACAACAGACAGGUAGGCCACCAUAGCCCCAAAUACAGGAGUGCCCUUUUUGUGUAAUCAAUGGGACAAGGUCAUGAAACACUUUAUGCUAGUAUAUAAUUGACUCAUAAAAUUGAGUUUCAAUUCUGAUCCUCUCGACUAGCUUCGGCAUUUAGAGCUCUUAACAUGUACCUUCAUCGGCCUUAUGACAUAUUGAACAAUAUUAUUUAAAUGAGACUUAAAUAUGUUUUAGUCCUACUGUUGUAAGAUUAAUUAUGUUCUUCUUUCGUAGGUAAACGUUAGUUGUUAGUAAGUUAUAAGUUAGUAAACUCUGGAACUUUUUCUCAAACUUCCACUUGAGCUACGCUUUAAUUACAAAAAAAUUGUAAUGUUACAGGUAAAGAAAGAACUACAACUUGCCUCUAGAUCCACUUCCUCCUAUUUCCCUCUCCAUCAUCCUAUCACUAGUCACUCCCCCUACUAUUAACCCCACAGGCCAUGUUAUGGUGUUGGAGUAAAAGAUGGCCCAGUAGGGAAUACCUCACAUUGUUAAAAUUAAAUGUACUAGAUUUAACCCAGAUUAGUCGGUCCUUUUCUGUAUACCGAUUUUCGAAACAAAAUUGAACUAGCUAUAAUCUCUAAAAUUCCAGAGGUGGAUAUACCACCACACAGACACACACUCAAAAAUGAUUCCUUCCUUGGUAAGAAACCGGGUUAUGCUUGUAUCUACUUUGAGUAGGAAGUGGCUCCGGUUUUGUGUUGGAGCAGAUAGCGUUGGGUGAAGGGUAGUUACGGGCCGAACUACUUAUGGUUGGUUGGCUGGUUGCCGGCCUUUGCUACUCUUUUUGAACGGUUGUACAAAUAUUUUUUCUUUUGUUUAUUUUGUAUGUUGGAAAGGGCUACAUCUAGUGCUCCAGUUGUAUGUUAUGUUGACUUUUUGUAGUUUUCGCUCCUCUUUUACUCCGGUCUCAAAUAUAAGCAAAAACAAGUCAAAUAAAGUUAGUGUAUUUGGUUAAAAAUGUAAACCAAAUCCAUCUAACUUGUUUAACUUUUUUUUUUGCUUAUAUUCGAAACUCAAGGGAGUAUAUCUUUGCCAUUCAAAAAAUAAAUAACACACACUCAGAAAGAAGUUUCCUUUCUUUUCAAGUAAUUUUUUCUAUGUAUUGUUCUUUUGUCUAGAACAAAACUUUUUCAAUUCAGAUCACAAUCAGAUAUGUCUAAAUGCAUGGUGACAUAGAAUUGAACACAGAAAAUUCAACAUAAUUGCAACUUGCAGUAGAAGUUAGCAAUAAUACCUUCAUCCUAGGCCGUUUUUCAGCAUUCAAUUUGCGAACUUCAUAACGGAUCCUCUUAGCAAAGAGUCUGCUUUGCCUCUUUUCUUUGUAUCUCAACAAACUUGCCUCUCUCUGCCCAAGCUUCCAACCCAUUUCUUGCUUCCAACCCAUUUCUUCCUUCACCUUCACAUUGUUAUUGUUAGCUCCAACACCUUCAGGAACUUUCCAUGUGUUCCCAUUAACAUCACACCCAUAACCAUCCCAUAAUACCUGUACAAAUACCAAAUAGCUUCAUCAAAACACUUCAUUUGAUAGUAACAUGUGGGUCCAUAAUAUAUUUCUAAAUUGAUGCAUAACCACCUAAAAGAUUUUCUCUUGUAUCUUACAAUUCAAUUUAUUGCAUUAACUUAGGAUAAACCUCGUCAAAAUAAAUGAGAUUCGAGGUAUAGUUGGAAAAAGAAUAAUGAAUGCAUCAAAAAAUUUGUACAUAGUCGGAGACAAAAACUUUUAGGGACGAAGGGAGUAUUUUUUUUUAGUUAAGUAGUCUAGUGGCUGGAGCUUACAGACAUUAUAAAUGUUGAGAAGUGAAAAGUUCGGAGUUCAAACCCCAACCAAUCCCUACCUACAUAUGCAUUGUCCAUACCAACCGAUCUAAACUCACGGGAACGGACAAAGGAAGUAUAUCACAACCAAAAGGGGGGCCGUUGAAAUAAGGGUAAAAGAAAAGCAAAAGGCUUUUAUAAUUCACCAUCGUGUUUUAAAUGUAAGAUCCUAAUCAAGCAGGCCCCUUACCAAAAAGUAACCAAUAAUAAAAAGUUGUCGGUGCCAAAAUGAAAUCACACUAUUCACCAUCCAAAAACAUGCACAAAAGAAAUUAAUAAUAAAUACCAUAUAUCAGUCACAUGCAUAAUCACAAUAAAAUAAAUCCGUGACGCAAUCUAAUUUUAGACACACACAUAACUCAAUAAAAAAAACUCUUAACUAAUAUAAUAUUUUCAUAACCAAUAAUUUGUUUUUAAACUGGUUGAUUCACUUUUUAAAAGGGUAAUCAAAGAAUUAAAGUCAAUAAUUAUUAAAAGAAAAAUGUUGAAAUUUCUUAGAUAUUAAAUCAUGAACUUGGUACAAGUUAGAAGAAUUUGGCUUAAAUCAUGAAGAAUUAUAGCUACAUGGAUAAUAAUAUGCAGAGGUUGAAAUUCGAGCUUCGAAUUUUCCACUUCUCCACAAUUAGGGUAUGUGAGCCACUAAAUUAGUUGGAAAAAAAUGAAAUUUGUCGGCUUGAAAUUUGAUAAAAUUACGAAAAUUUUGUCAACUUCAAAGCCGAUCGGAUCACGAUGAUACUGUGAUUUUGUCAAACUCAUUGCGAAUCAAAUAUGUAUAUGUAUGAACCAAAUCUAAAAAUUGAAAUAAAAAUUAGUAAAAUUACAUUGGGAAGGAUUCCACCAUUGAACAAAUCAGGAACAGUCUGAGGAGCCUCAUCACAACCAUCAACAUAAAGAGAACCUUUAUCAGACCAAGCAUUCAAUAUCCCAUCAUGAUCCAACUUCAAACUCAAAGACCCAAAAAACGACGUCGUUUCAAAUCCAAAACAAGUACUAUUAACUUCCUCCAUAAUUUCCUUCUUCGUUUCUUCAACAACUUCUGAAUAACUCACCCAUCUCUCUUCACUCUCUUCAUCAUUCCUCUUCCUCCUCAUUGCUUUCCUCACCAACCCUUGAUCCAUCACCGGACACUUCAUCACUGACAAUGACUCCUCCUCUUCCUCCGUCGUUGUCAACGUUGUCGAUUCAUUUUCUAGAAGACCGUUUAGCGUUGCUCCACCGUCUGAUGUGAAGAGUAACGCUACAUUGUUUUCUUCGUGCAUGUCGUGUUCUGUAUCGUGAUGAUGAGCAAACAAAUUCACUUGAUUUUGUUGUUGUUGUUGUUGUUGUUGUUGUUCUUGUUUUGGUGUUUUUUUGUUGUUGCUGUUUUUGGGUUGGUCUUUGUUUUUUUCUGUUUUUGAGAGCUGUAAACGUAGACUAAGAUACUUUGGUUUUUUUCUUUUUGUUUUGUUUCUACGUGAUUUUAGUGAAGAGGAAGAGGAAGAUGAAGAAGGUGAAAUUGAUGAACAUAUAUUUUUUUUGGUUUGUUUCUUUCUCUUCUUCAUAGUAAUAGAUUUUGCUUUUCUUUUUGUUUUUGUUGGUGAAAGAGUACUACUGUUCUUGUUGCACAUCACUCACUUACACAUACACACACUGUUAGCUAACAAAACUACAAAACUAGUUUCUUUCAAGUUUCAAGCACAGUUACCAAACUAGCUUUUAUGAUGAGAAAAUGGAAGAGAGUAUAAUAAUGGAGUGGGGAGAGAAAAGUGAGCAAAAAGGGUGUGACUUUUGUUGAGAGAGGACACUGACCUAAGAGAUGAUGAUGUGAUGUGGGGCCCAUUGGACACGUGGGGUGUUGUGAUUGGUUAAAUCAGUGGAUUCUAAUGUUAUCUGGAUUUCGCUUUUGGGAAGAGAUGAGGUGAUAAUAGAUUGGGUUAAAAAAGUUUUGGCAAUCCUUUAAUGGUAGUCUAGAUUACUCGAUUAUCUUCCUCGUCCUGUGUCAAAUCAUUUUUUAAUAUUUACUAUUAAUGGGUUGUUAAUUUAUCUAAUACUUCCUCCCUCCCCAAAUAUAAAAUCAUUUAACAAAAAUUGUUUACCUUUGAAUAUUUAGUUAACUUGAAUUCAAAUGGUUAAUGUGUUUCAUUUAAGAAAUAAUUAUUUAGAAAAAUUUAAGUUUGAUUUUUGAAUGAAACAAUUUUGAUUUCAAUCAAACUUUAGAUUACUAGAAAUAUAUUCCUCUACGAACCAAUAGUUAACACCAACAAAAAAAUAUAAAACAAUCAACUAAUUUCUAGAUAUAUUUAUUAAAUUUUUUUCAAAAAUAUAUCGCUUAUUAAUAUUAUCAAUUUGUCUUGAAAUAUGAAAAUAACAAUCAAUACAUUUAUAUCAAAAAGUAUAAUUUAGUAAUAAUCACAUAAAUUUCAGACAAAUUUAUUACAUCAACAACUUUUUUUUAAUGGAUAAUGUUGAAUGGUACGGGAUUGUUGGCUACGAAAAAUGACGAAUGCUUAAUUGCUUAUUUUCAAUGCAUAAAUCCAUGUAUUCACAUUAUAUUUGCUAACAAUUUCAUUGCCACUACCCCCGAAGAUUUCAGUCAAACAACAACUAACUCAAUUUUUUCUUUCUUUACAAAUAAUACUAAACCAGUUUUUUAAUUCCUUAAAUAUUGGUGAAGUGGGCAUCCGUGAAUUUUCGUGAGAAAAACUUCCCGUACUAUAUAGCACUACUGUUUUUUAAUAAUCGUAAAUUUUGUCACACGUUCUUAUAAAAUAAUCACAUAAACAACUUAUUUUAAUAUUUGUAAUUUUUGUCACAUAUUCUUAUAAAAUAUCACAUGUUAUUAUUGUUAGUGUAAACAGUAUUGUCAAAAUAAAAUAAAAAUCAACUAAUAUAAAAAAUUAUGAUCCUUGAAAUUUCAGUAUAUACUUUGUUCUUAGUCGAAUUAGGUCAUGUUCAAUGGUUGGGUUGAUUAUAUUUGAUAUCGUUAAUAGGUUGGGUCUGUUUUUGUCGUUGGAGAAAUGUCAUUCCGUGUUGACUAGGUUUCUGAAGGGAUAGUUUGUCGAAUCGACUUAUAUCGAAGAUUCAGAUCGCCGAAUUCGUUCUUAGUCCAAUCAGGUCAUAUUCAAUUGUCAGAUUGAUUAUAUUUGAUACCUUUAGUCGGUUGGGUACGUUUUGGUCAUCGAAUGAAUGUCAUUCCAUGUUGACUAGGUGUAUGAAGUAAUUGUUGGUCGGAUUGACUUAUACUGAAGAUUUUAUUCGCCGAAAUUCUAGUUCCUACUUCGUUCUUAGUUCAAUUAGGUCAUAUUCUAUGGUCAGAUUGACUAUAUUUGAUACUAUUAGUCGGUUGAGACUGUUUUGAUAGUCGGAGGAAUUUUCUUCCGUGUUGAGUAGGUUUCUUAAGGGAUAAUUUGUCAGAUUGAUUAUAUUAGAUAACAUUAGACGGCUGGGUUUAUUUUGGUGCUUAGAGGAAUGUCAUUCGAUGUUGACUAGGUUUCUGAAGGGAUAGCUUGUCGGAUCGACUUAUAUCGAAGAUUCAGAUCGCCGAAAUUCCAGUUUCUACUUCGUUCUUAGUCCAAUUAGGUCAUAUUUAAUGGUCGAAUUGAUUAUAUUUAAUAUUGUUAGUCGAAUGUGUGUGUUUCAAUCGUUAAAAAGUUUCUUCCAUGUUGAUUAGGUUUCUUAAGGGAUAGUUUGUCGGAUUAACUUAUACUGAAGGUUCCAAUUAUCGAAAUUUGAAGCCUUGCUUCAUUCAUAAUCCAAUUUGGCCCCUGAUUCGGGAAAGGUGGAUAUGUGUGAGGAAGGAAAGAUAUUGUCGAUGAUGGUAAGAUCCAUUAGUCUUAAUUUAUCUUACACUUAAAAAUCAUGAUCCAUUGUGGACCAUAUAUGGUACCAUGGUACUGGUCCACGGAAGCACUCACCUAUAUACAUUUACCUUCUUUCAAAAGCAAUAACGGAUUUCAAUUCAAUAAUUUUCGAGUCUAAAUUUUUCUUUCUUUUCUUUUGUAGCAAACUAUCCGGUUUUCAUGAUAAUAGAGCUUUGUUAAUCUGAAAUUUAACUCGAAGCUAAAUAAAAUAUGUUCAAAAAUUGUCUCACAUAUAAAUUGAAUUUAAUAUCUUUUAAAUAACCCGUCCAUCCGUAGAAUAAAUUAAUCACUUAAACACAAUUAUUUAGUUUCUUAAACUUCCGUCUAUCAUUAGAUUUUUUUUUUGACAAAGUCUACCAUUAGAUUUAGCUCUUGGAUAUAUAUUAUAAUACAAAUAUUUAACAUUUUUCAUAAAAAAAAAAAUGCAUUUUAAUUUUCGCUUAUGAAAAGAAGGUAUAAGCGGAUAUCAAACACCGACAAAAUAAAUUUAUUUUAGGCUUAAAUAUGAUAUUAGUUCCUGCAAUUUGGGUCGGUUUUGAAUUUCGUCCCUGUAAAAAAAUAAAAACUUUGAAUUACAUAAAAAAAAAUUUGUUUGAAAAAGAUCCCUGACCCCACAUUUUUUAUGAUGUGGCAUGUUCUUGCCACGUGGCAGUUGCUGACUGUGCAACUUAUGCCACGUGGCGCUUACGUGGCAUGCCACAUAAUAUUAAAUUUUUAAAAAGAAUUUUUAAAUUCUAAAAAUUGUUUUUAAAAUUUAAAAAUAUAAAAAAAAUUAAAAAAUCUGAAAAAAAUAUUAAAAUUAUUUUUAUCAUAUAAUUUUAAAAAAAAAAUUUAUUUUUUUUAAAAUUAUAAAAUUUCUUCUGAAAAAAAAAAUGAAAUGAUUUUUUUAAUUUUUUUUUAAAAUAUGAAGAAAAAAAUAUAAUUUUCAAAUUAAAAAAAAUUAAUGGUCGAAAAUUUAAUUUUAAUAGUUUUUUUUCGAUUUUUUUAAAUGAUUUUUGAAUUUAUUUUCAUAUUUUUUUAAUUUAAAAAAAUAAUUUUAAUUUUUUAAUUACGUGGCUGCCAUGUCAGCGCCACAUGGCAAAACCCAUGCCACAUCAUCAAAAAUGUGGGGCCAGGGACCUUUUUCAAACAAAAAAAAUUUUACAGGGAUGUUUUUCAAACUUUUUUUUUUACAGGGACGAAAAUCAAAACGGGCCCAAAUUACAGGGACGAAAAUGAUAUUUAAGCCUUUAUUUUAUUAUUACACCUCAUUCUUUAUAAUCCAUGGUUUUAUUUUACUCACGUGAUGUUUGUGAUUUGUACUUAUGAACUAAUUUUAUUUUGAAAGGGAUCAUGUAUCUUUUUUUUUUGGCAAAAUUACACUUUUAGUCCUUUAACUUAAUUUCAUGUAACAAUUUGGUCCUUUAUCUUUUUUUCAUUUCAAUUUGGUCCUUUUUGUCCAUUUUCAUAUGAAUUUUUAAGCUUAAAAUUCAUGAUUUUAUUUUCUUAUGGUCCUUCAAUCUUCAAAUCUAUGAUCAUCGUCUAUGUUUGCAUAAGAAUAUUAGAUUUGAAGCUUGAAAAUGUACAUGAAAAUGGACAAAAAGGAUCAAAUUGAAAUGAAAAAAAGAUAAAGGACCAAAUUGUUACCUGAAAUUAAGUUAAGGGACUAAAAAUGUAAUUUUACCUUUUUUUUUUUGAAGAAACUAAAAUGGGAUAUAUAAACAAUAAUGGAGACGCCUCUGAAGCACAAGGUGUACUAAAGAGGAAGCUCAAAAAACAAGAUGUCUAUCAGAAUUACAAGAACGAACAUUACCCUGUACCCAAACAAAACAAAUGGUCAGACCGCCACUGCUCACAACCAUACACAAAAGAGGCGCUAUUCGCCUUUAGUCAUUAAUAGGAGUGGAAUUUAACUUUUUCCGUAAGCCCCGUAAUGGAACAGUGAACGUUAUUAAAAUUUAUAUUAUUGCGUUCUUUCCAUAUGAGCCACACACACAACAACCACAACAGUUGAAGAAAAGAUCGACGACUUCUCGUGGCACCUAAGUAGUUAGUAAAUUGGGUGAAAUGAACACCUAUAACAUUAUGCUCAACACCUGCUAUACCAAGCCAUAACCUGACAUGCUGCCACAAGGAGCCAAAACAAUCACAAGUAAGGAACAAAUGUUGGGCGCUCUCCAGAAAGCCGCAGCCCGCCACACACGAAGAGUCAUCUGCUUGAAUAAUGUCGCGGUGCAAGAGUUUGGAUUUUGUCGGCAACCUGUCUCGAAGUAACCUCCAAGCUAAGAUAGAAACCUUUGAGGGAACCUGAUUGUGCCAAAUAAGAGUGUCGGAUUCAUCCACAGUAGAGGAGGCUGAGCAGAGAGCACCUGAUAACCUGAACGCACUAUGUAACCUGUAGUAAUGUCGGGUUGCCACUUCCAAGAAUCUGAAACAUUAAUCUGCAAAGUAACAUUAGAAAGUAACAACCUACACUCCUCUACCAUUUCCUCCUCCCACGCCCACAACCUCCGCCUCCACUGCCACGCCUCACCCCCUCUCCCCAACCUAACAAGAACAUCGAUGUUACUGAAUUCUGUAACACCCCGUUACCCAAAAGUAAUUAAAUAACAAAUAUAUAUCAGAGUAUUUCACCAAACGGGUAUGCUACAUUGCAAUUUCAAAAAUUCUUAAAUAGAAAAUGAAACUAUUUAAUUAAACCAAUUGAUAAAAUAUGAAAACAUAGCAGCGAAAUAGUUUUCAAUCCAACAACAGCCUACGGCAUUAAAGGCCUUAGCAUAAGUCAACAACAUUGUUCAAGAGACAAUAAAAGGCUCCACAUCACAAUUCCAAAAUUUGAUACAUGGAAGGAAAUAAACAAUAAAAUAAAUAAUAGUUCCCAUCCCACGUAUCAGAGCCCUAGACACGACAUUGAGCCACCACCAACUACUCAGGAUCACCUGCAAGUUACCCAUAGGAAGGGCAACAUUUUCAAGCAGAAGAGGUGAGAUUCACAACAAUAAAUAUAGAUAUUAAAAUCUUCAAUUGAAUCUAACACCCUAAUCAUCAAACACAUAAUAUAUAACUAUAUGUAUAAGUCACAAGCAACAACAACAUCAACAAUACACCACCAUCACAAUGAAUAUAUAAAUGCAUAUUCAACAUCAACAUCAACCAUCAGAUAAUAACUGCAAUCAACAACUAAGACUCAUGCACAUGACAUGACAACACUGCUAAGACACCAUCUUAGACUCCUCAAUGAAAUGCAAUAUGCAUGUGGUACCAAACAGGACCGAAGCCCUCACCGCUUUUGAAUGGUUAAAGCAUUCAUCAGGACCGAAGCCCUCACCGCUGUUGAGCAACUAGUACUCCAGGACCGAAGCCCUCACCGCUGUUUUAUGCAUAUGCAAUGGACCUACUUGUGUAUAUCUACAUACAACUGACCAUGCAAUGCAACUCAAUAUGACUCCACUUUAAUAAUAUGUAUGAUUCAACAAUUGGCAUACAUUUCAACCAUCAUCAGUAAUCAUUAAUCCAGUAGUUCAAUCAACCAAAAUAAUGCAUAAUUAUAUAUAACCAUGCUCAAAAACAACAACAUCAAACACUACUAUUCAAGUUAGCAAAACAACAUUCAGGAACUGUGCAGCUCGCCUCGCGAGCACAACUGCUCGCCAUGGCGAGUUCAAGGCGAACUCGAGGCGAGUGAACAUCAGGUGCUCUCGGGAAAAAUGACAUUUUCUCACUCAAAUCCAAAUUCUAAGUUCCCUAUUCAUCUUUUUAACCUAGAACUUUCACCAUUUAUCAUUAAUAUCAUCUAGGUACCUUAAACCAUCCCCAAAACAUCUUAUAACAACUUUUCAAAAAUCAAGUUUUAUCCAGGCUUGCUCGCCAUGGCGAGUUGGACUGCUCGCGAGGCGAGUGAUGAUGUUGCUCACUCGCGAGGCGAGACAUGAAUGCUCGCGAGGCGAGCGAUGAACAUCAGUACGAGCAGAAAACUGGUUUUACCCAAAAAUCCCAUUUUUCUUCCAAUCACUCCCCAAAUUAGUUUACAGAUAUAUAAUUAAGUGUUCUAUGCAACCAGAAACUAAUUCUAACAUCAAAAUCCUGCUUACAACAUCAAAAUCAUCAUUUUGUCAUAAAACCCCAAAAUCUCAAUUCCUCACCAAAACCUGUUAAACUCAAAAUCAGACUUUAAUAGCUACAAUACUGAAGUAAACCUCACCCUUACCUUAAUUCAGAA
This 29213-nucleotide long non-coding RNA is filed under the name Medicago truncatula (barrel medic). RNAcentral describes it as "long non-coding RNA (MTRU_LNC004883)". The stretch from base 10278 to 10355 matches the Rfam family "MIR5286 microRNA precursor family". The record is from RNAcentral. Lineage: Eukaryota; Viridiplantae; Streptophyta; Magnoliopsida; Fabales; Fabaceae.